This 420-nucleotide ribosomal RNA is filed under the name Streptantibioticus silvisoli. RNAcentral describes it as "bacterial SSU rRNA". It matches the Rfam family "Bacterial small subunit ribosomal RNA", at positions 1117 to 1533 of the family's 1533-position model. The record is from RNAcentral. Lineage: Bacteria; Bacillati; Actinomycetota; Actinomycetes; Kitasatosporales; Streptomycetaceae.
GCCCUUCGGGGUGAUGGGGACUCACGGGAGACUGCCGGGGUCAACUCGGAGGAAGGUGGGGACGACGUCAAGUCAUCAUGCCCCUUAUGUCUUGGGCUGCACACGUGCUACAAUGGCCGGUACAAUGAGCUGCGAUACCGCGAGGUGGAGCGAAUCUCAAAAAGCCGGUCUCAGUUCGGAUUGGGGUCUGCAACUCGACCCCAUGAAGUCGGAGUCUCUAGUAAUCGCAGAUCAGCAUUGCUGCGGUGAAUACGUUCCCGGGCCUUGUACACACCGCCCGUCACGUCACGAAAGUCGGUAACACCCGAAGCCGGUGGCCCAACCCCUUGUGGGAGGGAGUCGUCGAAGGUGGGACUGGCGAUUGGGACGAAGUCGUAACAAGGUAGCCGUACCGGAAGGUGCGGCUGGAUCACCUCCUUU